Molecule: ribosomal RNA, 632 nt
Filed under: uncultured rumen bacterium
Lineage: Bacteria
Description: bacterial SSU rRNA
Rfam family: Bacterial small subunit ribosomal RNA
Source: RNAcentral
AUGUCAGCGUACAGCGAAAGUGUUAAGUAUUCCACCUGGGGAGUACGCCGGCAACGGUAAACUCAAAGGAAUUGACGGGGGCCCGCACAAGCGGAGGAACAUGUGUUUAAUUCGAUGAUACGCGAGGAACCUUACCCGGGCUUGAAAGUUAGUGACGGCGGAUGAAAGUCUGCUUCCCUUCGGGGCACGAAACUAGGUGCUGCAUGGUUGUCGUCAGCUCGUGCCGUGAGGUGUCGGCUUAAGUGCCAUAACGAGCGCAACCCUUGCCGUUAGUUGCCAGCGGGUGAUGCCGGGAACUCUAGCGGGACUGCUACUGUAAGGUAGAGGAAGGUGGGGAUGACGUCAAAUCAGCACGGCCCUUACGUCCGGGGCGACACACGUGUUACAAUGGUGAGUACAGAGGGUUGCUACCCCGCGAGGGGAUGCUAAUCUCGUAAAACUCAUCUCAGUUCGGAUCGGAGUCUGCAACUCGACUCCGUGAAGCUGGAUUCGCUAGUAAUCGCGCAUCAGCCAUGGCGCGGUGAAUACGUUCCCGGGCCUUGUACACACCGCCCGUCAAGCCAUGAAAGCCGGGGGCGCCUGAAGUCCGUGACCGCGAGGGUCGGCCUAGGGUGAAACCGGUGAUUGGGGCU